This 419-nucleotide long non-coding RNA is filed under the name Prunus dulcis (almond). RNAcentral describes it as "sRNA ncRNA". The record is from RNAcentral. Lineage: Eukaryota; Viridiplantae; Streptophyta; Magnoliopsida; Rosales; Rosaceae.
GCUCAGCUUAUACAUCAGUAACAGUAACUGAAAAAGUAAAGGAACCUGUUUUAACAACCGCAGCAAUUGUCAUGAAAUCUAACAUGGGAAUUUCUACACAUAAAUCAUGUCAAGAUGCAAAUAAAUUUGGGGGUAAAUAAAGAAAAGAAAGGGGAACACAAACACAUACAUGUUGUGUAUAUAUAUAUAUAUAUAUAUAUAUAUAUAUAUAGCAUCAACGAAAUCUGAAUCAUCAAUCAUCCCCAACUGACCUAGAUUUCAACACAACAAAUAUAAAGCCACAAAAAAACAGCAGCACCACCCACAGAAAUCGAAGCCUAGUAUAUCCUUGAACUAAGGAGAAUUAAGACCUACUCUACAAUUAGAAAUUACGGAUCAAUAAUGAUCUUCUAGGAACCAAAACAUACAACAUAAAAUUG